GCUGGUGUACGCUUAAUCGGUAAAGUCGGUGCCUACAUCAUGUAUGCGGGUUCGACCCCCGCCACCAGCA
RNAcentral lists this transfer RNA (70 nucleotides) under Salmonella enterica. RNAcentral's name for it is "tRNA-Val". It matches the Rfam family "tRNA". Rfam says of the family: Transfer RNA (tRNA) molecules are approximately 80 nucleotides in length. Their secondary structure includes four short double-helical elements and three loops (D, anti-codon, and T loops). Lineage: Bacteria; Pseudomonadati; Pseudomonadota; Gammaproteobacteria; Enterobacterales; Enterobacteriaceae. The record is from RNAcentral. RNAcentral also lists the same sequence under 9 other names.